CUCUCUCCUCCUCCGCGCCGGUCCGUGCAGCUCUUCUGUCAGCUCACAUUGUAAGUCUCGCGAGAGCCGCACUAUGACCCCGCGGCUCUCGCGAGACUUACAGUGUGAGCUGACCAAGGUGCUGACCGGACCGGCACGGAGGAGGAGAGAG
Pelobates cultripes (western spadefoot toad) is the source of this 151-nucleotide non-coding RNA. The record is from the annotation of a GenBank genome assembly. NCBI's taxonomy places the organism in Eukaryota, Metazoa, Chordata, Amphibia, Anura, Pelobatidae.